Molecule: ribosomal RNA, 457 nt
Filed under: uncultured bacterium
Lineage: Bacteria
Description: partial 16S ribosomal RNA
Rfam family: Bacterial small subunit ribosomal RNA
Source: RNAcentral
GAUGAACGCUGGCGGCGUGCCUAAUACAUGCAAGUCGUACGGAAAGGCCCUUCGGGGUACUCGAGUGGCGGACGGCUGAGUAACGCGUGGGAACGUGCCCCAAAGUGAGGGAUAACGCACCGAAAGGUGUGCUAAUACCGCAUAUGGUCUUCGGAUUAAAGCUUCGGCGCUUUGGGAGCGGCCCGCGUACGAUUAGAUAGUUGGUGAGGUAAUGGCUCACCAAGUCGACGAUCGUUAGCUGGUCUGAGAGGAUGAUCAGCCAGACUGGGACUGAGACACGGCCCAGACUCCUACGGGAGGCAGCAGUAAGGAAUCUUCCACAAUGGGGGCAACCCUGAUGGAGCAACGCCGCGUGCAGGAUGAAGGUUUUCGGAUCGCAAACUGCUUUUAUAAGUGAAGAACAUGACGGUAACUUAUGAAUAAGGAUCGGCUAACUACGUGCCAGCCGCCGCGGUAA